Molecule: long non-coding RNA, 6175 nt
Filed under: Octopus sinensis (East Asian common octopus)
Lineage: Eukaryota; Metazoa; Mollusca; Cephalopoda; Octopoda; Octopodidae
Description: uncharacterized LOC118766582, transcript variant X2
Source: RNAcentral
ACACAUACACGCUGCAACAUACAACCAUAAGAAAUAACCACAGAGCAAUGUGUGUAUGUGUGUGUGUAUAUAUAUAUAUAUAUAUAUAUAUAUAUAUAUGGUGUCUCCUGUUGAAGACGAUAUGUAUGAGUAUUCAGUGUUUGCUGAAUGACCUUCACAAACGAUUUGUUGAUAGUGACCAAAUAUAUUUAUUGUGCAUCAGCUCACUACCUCCAUCAAGUCAACAUUGCUUGUACAGGUGCACAAGUGCACCUCACAUCAGAUGUUGAAGUGAUCACACGUCAGAUGUUGAAGUGAUCACACGUCAGAUGUUGAAGUGCUCAAGAACACAGCAUGCUGCCUGGCCAAAGAAUCGAACUAGUGAUUGUGAGUGCUGCACCCUAACAACUUGGCCAUGUGCCUUCACACACACACACACUUUUGGGUAUAUAGCAUGCUUGUCAAGCCAGGUGAGAUUGUAGUCAUGGCCGAUGCCAGUGUUACGUAACUGGCACCUGUGCCAGUGACAUAUAAGAAGUAUCCACUGUGUACUUGGAGUAGUUUGCAUUAAGAAGGGCAUCCAGCUGUAGAAACCAGGCCAAAUCAGAUUGGCACCUGGUGCAGCUCUCCAGCUUACCAGUUUUCAAUCAAACUGUAACCCAUGCUAGCAUGGAAAACGGAUAUUAAUUGAUGAUGAGGUUGAUUUUUGCCUUUCUUCCUUUUAGGGCUGUUAAAAUUAAGUACCAGUUAAGUAGUGGGGGCCAAUGGUAUUGACUAACCCCCUCUGCUCAAAUUGGUAGCCUUAUCCCAAAAUUUAAAGCCAUUUAUUAGUUUCUAAUAAAAUAUUCUCUCAUUCUAAGAUUUUUGCCUGAUAUGUAAAAUAUUUAAAAUAUUUAAAAUAUUUCUGUGGUAAAAUAGUCUGAAGAAGCAGUUUAUUCAGUGAAGCUUAUAAAUACUGUUAAAUGGUUUCGUCUUUUCAUCAUAUACAUAUAUAUGUAUAUAAACAAAAAAAAAUUUUGUGUGAGUGUAUAUAUCUAUGUGCGCGUAUGUGUGUGUGUAUUUUUUCUCUGAAUGUCUAACAAAUAAUUUUGAUCAUGAACUUGUCCUGUCUUUUUUUUUUUAAGUUCUCUCCCUCCAUUUCUCCUUCUCUGUUUCUCUCUCUCUCUCUCUCUCUCUCUCUUGCACCCUCCCACCCCUACAUACACAUUUAUAUGUGUUUAUGUUUGUAUGAGAGUUUGUUUGCAGAACAAAAAUUUAAAAAAACAAACUUAAUGCCAAGUUAGGAUAGUAGAGUAUAAUAUACAUAUGUAACUAAAUAUGUUGAUUACUAAACCAGAUAAAACACACAUGCACACACACACACACACACACGCACACACACACACACACACACGCGCUGUGUAACUGUAUAUGUUGAUUUUCUUAGUUAUAAUAAAUGUGUGUAUGUGCGUUUAUAUAUAUGUGUGUAUGUGCGUUUAUAUAUGUAUAUGUGCGUAUGUUUAUAUAGUAACUCAAAAAUAUAUUUAACUAUAAUCAUUUCGGUUGAGCGAUCUAGAUGAUCAAAUCACCAAUGUUGAUGUAGAUGUUUUUCUAUGACUAGAUGUGUGUGUGUGUGUCCGUAGGUGUAUGUUGUGUUCCUUAUGUGCAUAUGAUUGUAUUUCUAUGUGUGUGUGUGAGGAAGUAUGAAAAUGAUUGUGUUGCAAAAAAAGCUGUUCCUUCGUGUAAUUUACAUUCACGAGUUAUUUUAUAUUUAUAUUUAUCUGGUUCAUACAUCUUUGGUUUGGUUAAGGAUUUGGUAAACCAUCAUCAGCUGGUAACAAUAUCACCGGAUGUUUCAUCUUCAUGGUGUGUAUCAAGGUGACCCUUUGUCUCCUGGCAAAUGGCCUAGUGGUCUUGAAGCCAGUGCUUAUUUGAUGUAGGACAUAGACUGUGGCAUACUUCAGCCCUGUUAGAAGGGAAUUAUGUCAAUCUGGUUCUGUGGUUAAGAAGUUUGUUCUUUGCUUUCAAACCAUAUGGCUUUGGGUUCAGUCUCACUGUAUGGCGCCUUGGGCAAAUGUCCCCUACUGUUGUCCAGGAUCAACCAAAGACUUGUCAGAGGAUUUUGGAGAUGGAAACUGAAAGAAACUCAUUUUAUGUGUGUGUUUGUGUCUUGCGAUGUUGCCUGAUGCUUUAAAAAAACCCAAAAAACCUGGCACUUGAUUGGUCGUAACAUUGAGGGUUUCAGUUGAUCCAAUUAAUGGAACAGCCUGCCCAUGAAGUUGAUGUGUAAGUGGCUGAGUACUCCACAGACUUGCACACUCUUAAUGUUGUUCUCAGGGAGAUUCAAUGUAGCACAGAAUGUGGCACAACUGGCACUUUGAGUUAUAGGUACUACUCAUUUUUGCCAGCUGAGUUAACUGGAAGAAUGUGGAAUAAGGCAUACCUUGCUCAAGGACACAGCAUACCACUGAGAAUGGAACUCAUGACCUUCUGAUCAUGAGCUGAAUACCCUAACCACUUAGCCAUGCGCCUUCACGAUACUUGUAAACGAGUGUUACUGUCAUAUAAGCUGUGCCCUUCAUAUCUAGUUUCCCAUGAAAAAGUGUCCAGUCACGAAGAAAUACCACCUUGCUUGGAAACUAGUGAGAGUUGGUUACAGAAAGGGUGUUUAGCCAUAGAAAGUCUGCCUUGAAGAAUUCCAUCUGACCCAUGCAAGCAUUGAAAAGUGGAUGUCAAAAUAGUGAUGUUGAUGAUGAUGAGUUAAGUAGAUUGGGUCAUUAGGAGGUCAUGAAAUAAAAGAACAUGUACCCAGGGCAAACAUGAGUCCUGAUGGCUUGUACUGCUCAAAAGCAUCAUGACAUACAACUUUACUACCUUGUUUGUUACUUUGUCUUUCCUGCUACAAAGAAUUACUGGCUUUCUUCGACUCUAUUGAAUUUAUUUUGUUGUGGUGGGGUGUCUGGGACAUUAAAAAUUAACUCCUUAGCAUUCAAAUCACUCUGUCGAAUGUAAUGCAGAUUUAUUCAUUUUGUUCUGAAUUAAUAAUGCAUUUUCUCAUAGCUUUGAAAUUUCAAUGAUGUGAUUGUUUAUUUUCACAGUGACAUUGUAGGAUAAGUGGGAGAGGCUGGAUCUGGCCAAUUUGAACAUAAAGUAAGCAGAAUAUUUGAGCCAGUUAUGACUAGUUUAAAGGCUAAAGUGCUGAAUAUCUUGACCAUGGAUAGAAUGCCUUAGUAACAGGAUAUGAAAUUGGCAAUUUUUUUGAUAGGCUAUCAUCAUGAUAAUCUGUAGCUCUUUUGUAGUUCAUUCUAACAUAUACAUACACAUGUAUUCAUAUAUUGUGGUUUGUCUGUAUAAAUCGAUAUUAGUUCAUUGCUGACAAGACUUAUUUAACAAGAAUUUUGUGAGCUGUUUGGACAGCAUUUGAACAUAUACAUGUCAUGUUAAAUAAGCCUCUUCUCUCUCAUACACUUCAUUUGAGCAUAUAUAUGUGUCAUGUUAGAUAAACGUUUUCACUUUCGUACACUUGUUACCAUCAUUAAUCUUACUGUUGCCGUUCAUUCUUCAGUUUACUCAACUGUAACUGUUCAUUAAAUUAAUUCUGGCUUCCUACCAUAUGAAUCGUUAAGAUGUGGUUUAAAAUUGGAACAUAAUUCAACUGUAUCUAAUUGAAUAAUACAACAGCUACCAAGAUUUCAUUGAUUACCUGAUAUCUUCAUAUUCACUGCAUAUUACAUUGUAUCACCUUAUAUAACACAAGCGUAUCUGUGCCACGAAAAAUAUAUGACAACUGUCUUUAGAUGUAAAUAACUUGAGUUUAAUUUGUGAUUCUUUAGACGAAGUUUUCUUGAUAAAAUACGUAAAUUCCACGUUUCUCUCAUUUUCUUUAAAGUUUCGAGCAGUCAACUAAUGAUGUCUUUUCUCUAGAUUGGUGAAGUUUCUAAAUUAUAGAAAAUGAAUUGGGUCCAAGAAUUUUUGGAUGGUUUUAGUUCAGUCUCACUGCACAACAAUUUGGGCAACUGUCUUUUACUAUAAGCCUUGGAUCGACUAAAGUCUUGCAAGUGGGUUCUGUAGAUGGAAACUGGUAAAAGCUUACUGAUCUGUGUGUGUGUAUGUGUGUGUGCAUGCGUGCCCUCUUUGACUUGAUGUCAUGUGGAUUCUAAAUGAGUGUUACUGUCAUACAAGUGAUGUCAUUUUGUGAAAAAUAUGUCUGGUUGUGGGGAAAUAUUUCCUCCUAAAAAACAGGAAGGGCAUCCAGCUAUAAAAAAAUAUGCUGCAAUGAAUUUUUUUCUGACCCAUGCCGGCAUGGAAAAGUGGAUGUUAUAACGAUGAUGAUGAUGGUUGAGAAUUUACAUUAAUAUCUCUCUUUUAAAAUUAUAUGUCUUGCAGGUUGGCAGAUUUAGCAGAGCAAUUAACAAGUAUUUAGGUAUCUUAUUUUGAAUUCUAAUUUGAACCUCUACCUGAGUUGACUUUGUCUUUCAUCCUUCUAGAGUAGAUAAAACAAAGAACCAACAAAUUACUAGGGUUGAUGUAGUAGACCAUACCUGUCUGUUCAAAUUUGUGGAGACAGUGGAGGAUUGGGGAUGUUUUUUUCUGUUACUAGAAAUAACAGCCAAAUUCCCUUUGCAUCAUACUCCACUGUCAAAAAAGGCUUACUAGUUAUGCUGGAAAUGCUUUUGUAGUGUGCUGAAUCAGGGUUGUCUGGGGCUAAAUAUCAACUUAAAUUUUUCACCUUUGGCCUUCAUUAGGAAUCAAACUUUUUAGAUUUAUAAUUAAAUCUUGUUGAAGUUCAUUAACAAAAAAAAUAUAUCCUUAUUAAUAAUUAACAUCACUUUCCUACUUCUAUAUUACCAUCAUCAUUUAACAUCUGUUUUCCAUGUUGCUAUGGGCUGGCCGGUUUGACAGGAGUCGAUGAGCCAGAGAACUGAGCCAAAUUCCAAUGUCUGUGUUGGCAUGGUUUCUGCGGCUGGAUGCCCUUCUUAACACCAGCCACUUCACAGAGUCCAGUGAUGUGACUUCCUUCCACCGGAUGUUUAACCACAAACAGCAACCAAAAUUUACAGAGACACUAAUUGUUUUCUAUUAACGAGAUAUUAAUAAUCAGUUAACCCUUUCAUUACUGUAUUUAUUUUGAGAUGCUCUGCGUUUCUUUCAAUUAUUUUAGAUAUAACAAAGAAUUAAGUAAAAUAACUUGGUUAUCAUUAAGCUAGUGUUAGGAACAUAAAUUGUGACUAAGGUUUGAUGGAAGAUUUUAAUUCAAAACUUAUGAAAAUAAGACAUUUGUACUACAAAGCCAGAGCCGGUUUCAGCCGGGUUGAUACCAAAAGGGUUAAUCUAGGUUUUGUUUCUUCAUUCAGCAUCUUGUUAACUCGCUUCGACACCAGUCUACCUGUGACAGGCCCUGGUUCUAUGUUUCUAACUUUCUAUUUUAAAGUGAUCGAAACAAAAAAAAAAAAAAAAAGAAAACCCAAAACAAACUUCCCAUUAAAAUUUUAUGUUAAUUUAUAAUCCAAACUUAAUCUUAAUAACGAUAACGAUAUUUUUACUAUAUUCUUCAUUAUAUACUAAAUUUACCCCGUAGCACUCGGAUUACUCUGUCAAAUGCAAUGAUUUUUUAAUUCACAUUGUGUUGAAUUAAUCCUGCAAUUAUCUCCUAUCUUCAAGAGGCUGAUGAUGUGAUUGUUUAUGCUUUGAAUGACAUUUUAGGAUGGGUGCAAGAGGGUGGAUCUGGUUGUUUUGAACAUAAAACAACUUGAAUAUUUGGCCAUGAUAUGACCAGUAUAAAUGCUAAAGAGUGUUAGUUAAAGACAAAGCGGUUGUACUUUGAGAAAAGGAGUGGCUGUGUCAUAAAAUAACAAAAUAGUUAUGAUUCUGUUACUGUUAGGCUUCACCUAAGUUGGUAGUGUUUACCUCACAAAUUUAUCCAUUGCAAUUGCAUUUUAGUGUUGCCUUACACGUGCACACUGCACAGAUGCACAUGUAGCUGAAAGAUAAUGUUCAACCAGUUCGUUUCAUUUGAAAUUACUCUGUGCUCUUGUUGUAUAAUUUUUGUUACUGUUGUUGUUAUGGCACUUGUUGCUAUGACAUGGGUUUAUUUGUAUUUUCUGUGCUCUUUUAAUGGAUUCAGUCAUUGGGCCGUGGCCAUGCUGGGGCACUGGCGUUCUGGUUUUAGUCAAUUAUAUCAACCUUAAUGCUUUGAUAUAUAUAUAUAUAUAUAUAU